RNAcentral lists this ribosomal RNA (459 nucleotides) under uncultured bacterium. RNAcentral describes it as "partial 16S ribosomal RNA". It matches the Rfam family "Bacterial small subunit ribosomal RNA", at positions 338 to 795 of the family's 1533-position model. The record is from RNAcentral.
CCUACGGGGAGCAGCAGUGAGGAAUAUUGGUCAAUGGUCGGGAGACUGAACCAGCCAAGCCGCGUGAGGGAGGAAGGUACAGAGUAUCGUAAACCUCUUUUGUCAGGGAACAAAGGCGGGGACGUGUCCCCGGAUGAGUGUACCUGAAGAAAAAGCAUCGGCUAACUCCGUGCCAGCAGCCGCGGUAAUACGGAGGAUGCGAGCGUUAUCCGGAUUUAUGGGGUUUAAAGGGUGCGCAGGCGGUCUGUUAAGUCAGCGGUCAAAGCCCGGGGCUCAACCCCGGCCCGCCGUUGAAACUGGCAGUCUCGAGUGGGAGAGAAGUAUGCGGAAUGCGCGGUGUAGCGGUGAAAUGCAUAGAUAUCGCGCAGAACUCCGAUUGCGAAGGCAGCAUGCCGGCUCCACACUGACGCUGAGGCACGAAAGCGUGGGUAUCGAACAGGAUUAGAUACCCGAGUAGUC